UAGCGCGCGCCAUCAAAACUUCAGGGCGCCACCCAACCCUCUCCCCGAUCAAGAAAGAGAAGGGCGGCUGUCUCGUCCAUGGGGGAAAGAGAAGACCGCACUACAAAGAGACCUUCUGUCAGAGGACCUUGGAUUGAGUUUUGAUAAACUGCCUUCUGUACCUGAUGGGAGAAGGACCUCUGCCCCCUCAUCCAAGGCUUCAGAUUAGGGCUCCUGGACGCACAGACAAGCAAGUCACUGUUCCAGCCACAGUUACUCCAGUCUGUGCGAUAUCAAUAAACUCUACACUUCA
Long non-coding RNA from Thamnophis sirtalis, 292 nucleotides. RefSeq lists it as uncharacterized. NCBI's taxonomy places the organism in Eukaryota, Metazoa, Chordata, Lepidosauria, Squamata, Natricidae. The record is from RefSeq and is a predicted model, not a curated record.